UCAUAGAGAGGUGUGGGAAAGAAUAGUGCCUUUCUGCUCCCUUUCUUCUAGCUUGAAACCGAGUCCUGGGAGGACAGGACGGCUGCCACACUAACCACCCCAUUGGGAAUGCUGGAGUAAGACCAUUGAACCUCCGCAAGUUCCAGCAGCAAUUCGUCCCGGCCCCCACCUCACCAGCCUGCCGUGCGCAUCUCCUUUGGGCUUCCAUCACUCCAGAUUCCCUGACUGCCUUAUCACCCCACUGCCUCAAGAUACCAUCCCUGCGCUCACCUGCUUCGUUCCACUCCUCUGGUGCCCGGCCUCAUACUCCACCUUUGGCUGUCCUGAAUACUCUCCUCUCAAGGAAACUUGACUUCAAAGUGGACAAAGUUCCCCUCACACCUAGAGGGAGGCGGUGGGAUGCACCACACUGUAGCUGCAAUAAAUGCCACUGAGUUGUA
Neofelis nebulosa (Clouded leopard) is the source of this 440-nucleotide long non-coding RNA. RefSeq lists it as uncharacterized. The transcript has 2 exons. NCBI's taxonomy places the organism in Eukaryota, Metazoa, Chordata, Mammalia, Carnivora, Felidae. The record is from RefSeq and is a predicted model, not a curated record.